Long non-coding RNA from Rosa rugosa (rugosa rose), 180 nucleotides. RefSeq lists it as uncharacterized. The record is from RefSeq and is a predicted model, not a curated record. Lineage: Eukaryota; Viridiplantae; Streptophyta; Magnoliopsida; Rosales; Rosaceae. The transcript is spliced from 3 exons.
AGGACUUGUACUACUGUCUCUUGGACUUUUCGGAUUUUCUACGAGAAGGCAUUACUUGAGUUUGAAAAGCAUAGAUGGCAUGGCAGUGAGCUUGCUCUUCCUGAACCUUCUAGAGUUGAGAUUCGGGCUGAUGGUAGUCAAACUUGUGGAUCAGGCAGGACACUAAGGGAUGCUGCAGCA